This 688-nucleotide long non-coding RNA is filed under the name Volvox carteri. RNAcentral describes it as "long non-coding RNA (VCAR_LNC004295)". The record is from RNAcentral. Lineage: Eukaryota; Viridiplantae; Chlorophyta; Chlorophyceae; Chlamydomonadales; Volvocaceae.
AACACCAAGUCUAUGGCUCCGCUAAUAGUAAACUUUGUUGACGCGUACGCUGGGCUAAAAAAAUAAAGGUCAGUAAAAUCCCCAAAGGGAAUGUAGGUUUGGCCGGAGGCCCAUCAUCAGACCUACCGCCAAAUGCUGAGGCUGUCUUCUUGGUUUCCGUCCCCUUUGGGUGACCCAAAGGGAUAACCGAAGGGUGUCAAACUUCUUCCCCUUCGGGGACAAACCCUUUGGGGCACCCAAAAGGGGGGGGGUUAGAAAACCCGGAGGGGAUGAAAAACUACAACUAGGCUUCAGCCGGAGGCCUACUUGGGUAGCGGCGAACGCAUUCAUCCCCUAAAGGGGAACCGAAGGGGGGCGGGGUUCCCUUUAGUUCCCCUAAAGGGGAAGAAGAGCUACUCGUUUAUAGUUAAACAAUAGAAACGACAAAUCCAUUACAACGGAGUCCCCUUUGGUAUUAGCUACGUUCUUUACACGAAACUAUAUUAAAAUAAAUUAGGCGCUUAUAUAUAAAUGCCGUGAAAGUAGAAUUUUUUAAAGGUAAUUUGUAUUACAAAAAUAGGCAGGAUGGUCCAACGGACCACAAGAUCUUGUAGGAAUUCGUGGCACUUUUUUUGCUUUACGGCUUUGCCCGCGUUCUAGUAACUACAACGUAGUAGAUGAUCUUGACGACUACAAUUAGUAACAUAAC